CCUACGGGUGGCUGCAGUGGGGAAUAUUGCACAAUGGAGUUAACUCUGAUGCAGCGACGCCGCGUGAGUGAAGACGUACUUCGUUAUGUAAAGCCCUAUCAGCCGGGAAGCAAGUGACGGUACCUGAAAACGAAGCUACGGCUAAAUACGUGCCAGCAGCCGCGGUAAUACGUAGGGAGCAAGCGUUAUCCGGAUUUACUGGGUGUAAAGGGAGAGUAGGUGGCAGUGCAAGUCCGAAGUGAAAACCCACGGCUCAACUAUGGGAAUGCUUUAGAAACUGGUCAGCGAGAGUGCAGGAGAGGCAAGUGGAAUGCUUGGUGUAGCGGUGAAAUGCGUAGAUAUUAGGAGGAACACCAGUGGCGAAGGCGGCUUGCUGGACUGUAACUGACACUGAGGCUCGAAAGCGUGGGGAGCAAACAGGAUUAGAUACCCGAGUAGUC
RNAcentral lists this ribosomal RNA (440 nucleotides) under uncultured bacterium. RNAcentral's name for it is "partial 16S ribosomal RNA". It matches the Rfam family "Bacterial small subunit ribosomal RNA", at positions 338 to 795 of the family's 1533-position model. The record is from RNAcentral.